GUCUGUCUACGUUUUAAAAUUUAAGUGAGGGGAGAUAGAGUUAGUUGAGUUUGAGCCGAGGAUUGAAUUGGUUGUGAUCGCACAACAAAAAGGUGAUAUCAAAGAGUAUGUGUUGUUGGUCUUCUCUACUUUGCCUUCAUUAAGCAAAUAAUGCAAUUGUAAUUAAAUAGAAGAAAAAAAAA
Long non-coding RNA from Glossina fuscipes, 182 nucleotides. RefSeq lists it as uncharacterized. The record is from RefSeq and is a predicted model, not a curated record. The transcript has 2 exons. Lineage: Eukaryota; Metazoa; Arthropoda; Insecta; Diptera; Glossinidae.